This 116-nucleotide small RNA is filed under the name Marmota monax (woodchuck). The record is from RNAcentral. Lineage: Eukaryota; Metazoa; Chordata; Mammalia; Rodentia; Sciuridae.
GCCUGGUGUGGUGGUGCACACCUAUAAUCCCAGCACUGGGGAGGCUGAAGCAGGAAGAUCAACUGAAAUCAGGAGUUCAAGACCAGCCUGGGCAACAUAUUGAGAUUCCAUUUCAA